RNAcentral lists this unclassified non-coding RNA (318 nucleotides) under Tomentella sp. RNAcentral's name for it is "partial contains 5.8S ribosomal RNA, internal transcribed spacer 2, and large subunit ribosomal RNA". The record is from RNAcentral. Lineage: Eukaryota; Fungi; Basidiomycota; Agaricomycetes; Thelephorales; Thelephoraceae. RNAcentral also lists the same sequence under 2 other names.
AACGCACCUUGCGCCCUUUGGCCAUUCCGAAGGGCAUGCCUGUUUGAGUAUCAUGAACACCUCAACUCUUCAUGGUUUUCCAUGAUGAGCUUGGACUUUGGGGGUCUUGCUGGCCUGUGGGUCGGCUCCUCUCAAAUGAAUCAGCUUGCCGGUUUUUGGUGGGCAUCACAGGUGUGAUAACUAUCUACGCUUGUGGUUUUCCACCAGGGUAACCUUCAGCAGUGGAGGUUCACUGGAGCUUACAAAUGUCUCUCCUCUGUGAGGACAGCCCUUUGAAUGUUUGAUCUCAAAUCAGGUAGGACUACCCGCUGAACUUAA